GCCGGGAUAGCUCAGUCGGUAGAGCAACUGAUUCGUAAUCAGUAGGUCGGAGGUUCGAUUCCUCUUCCCGGCACCA
This 76-nucleotide transfer RNA is filed under the name Pseudomonadales bacterium. RNAcentral's name for it is "tRNA-Thr". It matches the Rfam family "tRNA". From Rfam's summary of the family: Transfer RNA (tRNA) molecules are approximately 80 nucleotides in length. The record is from RNAcentral. Lineage: Bacteria; Pseudomonadati; Pseudomonadota; Gammaproteobacteria; Pseudomonadales. RNAcentral also lists the same sequence under 5 other names.